RNAcentral lists this ribosomal RNA (253 nucleotides) under uncultured bacterium. RNAcentral describes it as "partial 16S ribosomal RNA". It matches the Rfam family "Bacterial small subunit ribosomal RNA", at positions 524 to 776 of the family's 1533-position model. The record is from RNAcentral.
UACGAAGGGAGCUAGCGUUGUUCGGAAUCACUGGGCGUAAAGCGCACGUAGGCGGAUUUGUCAGUCAGGGGUGAAAUCCCGGGGCUCAACCUCGGAACUGCCUUUGAUACAGCAAGUCUUGAGUUCGAGAGAGGUGGGUGGAAUUCCUAGUGUAGAGGUGAAAUUCGUAGAUAUUAGGAAGAACACCGGUGGCGAAGGCGGCCCACUGGCUCGAUACUGACGCUGAGGCGCGAAAGCCAGGGGAGCAAACGGG